GAGGGUGUAGCUCAGUUGGUUAGAGUACCUGCUUGACAUGCAGGGGGUCAUCGGUUCAAGUCCGCUCAUCCUCA
Molecule: transfer RNA, 74 nt
Filed under: Ruminococcus sp.
Lineage: Bacteria; Bacillati; Bacillota; Clostridia; Eubacteriales; Oscillospiraceae
Also listed under: 2 other names
Description: tRNA-Val
Rfam family: tRNA
About the family: Transfer RNA (tRNA) molecules are approximately 80 nucleotides in length. Their secondary structure includes four short double-helical elements and three loops (D, anti-codon, and T loops).
Source: RNAcentral